Molecule: ribosomal RNA, 20 nt
Filed under: Deschampsia antarctica (Antarctic hairgrass)
Lineage: Eukaryota; Viridiplantae; Streptophyta; Magnoliopsida; Poales; Poaceae
Source: RNAcentral
CUCCUGGGAAGUCCUCGUGU